RNAcentral lists this ribosomal RNA (468 nucleotides) under uncultured bacterium. RNAcentral's name for it is "partial 16S ribosomal RNA". It matches the Rfam family "Bacterial small subunit ribosomal RNA", at positions 28 to 507 of the family's 1533-position model. The record is from RNAcentral.
GACGAACGCUGGCGGCGUGCUUAACACAUGCAAGUCGAACGGAAAGGCCCUGCUUUUGUGGGGUGCUCGAGUGGCGAACGGGUGAGUAACACGUGAGUAACCUGCCCUUGACUUUGGGAUAACUUCAGGAAACUGGGGCUAAUACCGGAUAGGAGCUCCUGCUGCAUGGUGGGGGUUGGAAAGUUUCGGCGGUUGGGGAUGGACUCGCGGCUUAUCAGCUUGUUGGUGGGGUAGUGGCUUACCAAGGCUUUGACGGGUAGCCGGCCUGAGAGGGUGACCGGCCACAUUGGGACUGAGAUACGGCCCAGACUCCUACGGGAGGCAGCAGUGGGGAAUAUUGCACAGUGGGCGGAAGCCUGAUGCAGCAACGCCGCGUGCGGGAUGACGGCCUUCGGGUUGGAAACCGCUUUCGCCUGUGACGAAGCGUGAGUGACGGUAAUGGGUAAAGAAGCACCGGCUAACUACGUG